GUACCCCUGCUCUGUUGGUGAUCAGCGAAGUAUUGAGCCAACUCGUAUGAUAAGGGUAGCCUUAAUCCUGCAUGAUGGAAAUCUUUAUUGACUCCCAGACGGUAGGAGGGGCACUGCCCACCUAAUCUAAUUAGGUUUAAUCAUUUCGUUGACACGGCAGCGCGGGGGGCUU
Molecule: non-coding RNA, 172 nt
Filed under: Desulfobulbus propionicus DSM 2032
Lineage: Bacteria; Pseudomonadati; Thermodesulfobacteriota; Desulfobulbia; Desulfobulbales; Desulfobulbaceae
Description: 6S / SsrS RNA
Rfam family: 6S / SsrS RNA
About the family: E. coli 6S RNA was the first non coding RNA to be sequenced, but its function was unknown until recently.
Source: Rfam by way of RNAcentral